UUUGCGGAGAGUUUGAUUCUGGCUCAGGACGAACGCUGGCGGCGUGCUUAACACAUGCAAGUCGAACGAUGAAGGGUACUUGUACUUGGAUUAGUGGCGAACGGGUGAGUAUCACGUGAGUAAUCUGCCCCCUUCUUUGGGAUAAGCCUGGGAAACUGGGUCUAAUACUGAAUAUUCUGUCCUCGUCGCAUGGUGGGGGUUGGAAAGAUUUAUCGGUGGGGGAUGUGCUCGCGGCCUAUCAGCUUGUUGGUGGGGUAAUGGCCUACCAAGGCUUUGACGGGUAGCCGGCCUGAGAGGGCGACCGGCCACACUGGGACUGAGACACGGCCCAGACUCCUACGGGAGGCAGCAGUGGGGAAUAUUGCACAAUGGGCGCAAGCCUGAUGCAGCGACGCCGCGUGG
This 402-nucleotide ribosomal RNA is filed under the name Cellulomonadaceae bacterium. RNAcentral describes it as "bacterial SSU rRNA". It matches the Rfam family "Bacterial small subunit ribosomal RNA", at positions 1 to 404 of the family's 1533-position model. Lineage: Bacteria; Bacillati; Actinomycetota; Actinomycetes; Micrococcales; Cellulomonadaceae. The record is from RNAcentral.